This 931-nucleotide long non-coding RNA is filed under the name Dasypus novemcinctus (nine-banded armadillo). Its description in RNAcentral is "lncRNA (ENSDNOG00000049869.1)". Lineage: Eukaryota; Metazoa; Chordata; Mammalia; Cingulata; Dasypodidae. The record is from RNAcentral.
AUUACAGAGGUGACAGAAUUCGUACCUCCCAGACACUAAAUCUUGGGAGAUACAGGGAGAAAAUUUUGAGUCAUAUAACACUCUGAAGAGACAAAACAGCCCUGAAACUUCAAUGCACAAGGGACAGAAUAAUACCAGCAGUUCUAAGACAUUCAGGCAGGUAGGGCAGGGAGGAAGCAGGCAGGAAGGAUGAAGGAAAGGCUUACCAAAUAGUGGGAGCAGUCCCAGCACCUCCCGCCCUAGAGGCAGGAGUCCAGCAGCCUGCCUAGCAGCAGCACUGUUUCUUGCAGCAGCACUUCUGCUGGCAGCCACACUUCUGCUGGCAGCAGCCCUUCACGCAGCCACAGGAGCCACAGCCACAGGAGUGGUGGCAGCAGACGACCACGGGGGUGCUGCAGCAGCCCCCACAGCAGCCGCAGCAGCAGGGGCAGCAGGAAGAGCAGCAGCCCACCCGGUAGCAUCUGCAGGUGGUGCAGCUGCCACAGCCACCACAGCCACCACCACAGCCACCACCGCAACUGCCACUGCAGCCACCACUGCAACCACCACAGCUUCCACAGCCACAGCAACCCAUGGUGUCAGUAGAGAGGACUCAGUCCUCCCUGGUUUGCAAGUCUUAAGGAUGAUAUGAGAACUGGUGCCCAGGCUAAGUUUAAUCCAUAUCUCCUGCUUUCUGAGAUCCAGCCCCCAAAUGAAAAACACCACUGGAAGCCUUCUUCAACCAUCACCAAAGUAUGAGCCUGGCAGAACAAAAUGAUGAUUUUCAAUGCUAUGCUUUCUUGAAUUUGUGCUGUUGAAAUGUUUUUCUAUUUCUUCUUCCCUCUUUCUGUAUCCUAUGUCUGCUGUAUUUUGUCUUUGUAACCCAAGGCAAUUCUUUCCCUAAUAAACCAUAACAAAUUGGUGCCGAAGAUCAUUAAAUCUCUUGCCUCAU